AUAGUACUCUCUUCAUCCGGAAAUACUUGUCACUAAAAUGAAUAAAAGAGAAUAUAUCUAGAUGUAUUUAGUUCUAAAUACAUUCAUUUUUAUCCAUUUUGAUGAUAAGUAUUUUCGGACAGAGGGAGUAGACA
This is a non-coding RNA of Triticum urartu, 134 nucleotides long. Lineage: Eukaryota; Viridiplantae; Streptophyta; Magnoliopsida; Poales; Poaceae. The record is from Rfam.